RNAcentral lists this long non-coding RNA (1648 nucleotides) under Pelobates cultripes (western spadefoot toad). Lineage: Eukaryota; Metazoa; Chordata; Amphibia; Anura; Pelobatidae. The record is from RNAcentral.
CUAUAUUUGACUCUGUAACUUCGAGAGAAAAAAAACAUAAAACCUGUACAUAGGGAGUACUGUUUUACACGUGAGACAUCGAUGAUUAAAUUUAUGUGUAAUUUUUUUUUUUUAUUAUUCUUUAUUUUUGUGGUGCAAAUAAUUAACAUACUUUCUUGCAGUGCCCCAACAGCAGAAGCAAGGAUGAUAAUAUACAUGCGUUAAAAAGUACAGGGCAUAGAAGAUCACUGCACACAUUUUUGUUUAAGUAGCUAGGUCACAUGCUGGUCUACCUUGUCCAAGGUAUAUAAUAUAACAUCCUGGAUUCAAUAUUAGCCACUUAGACACUUGAGAGUCAUGUGAAGAUUAAUAGUAAAACAAGCUUAUAAAACAGGAAUAUGAGAGAAGUCUAGGGUCAUGAAAAGUAACAUGGUUAGGUAUGUCAUAUCACAUUAGUCGAUUAACCAUGUAGGAGCUGCAUAAUAACAUUCAAAUUGUAUGCUAAGACUGACUUGCACAGACUAUGCACGUGUUUCAAGCUAGUUAGACACAGGAGGGUAUUUGCAAAGUAAGUGCUAAGUCUGUUGUGACUAUAAGAAAAAAAAAAAAGUAUAACAUGCUAAACUGGCAUAGUUAUGACAAAUGGGACCGCUCCCAUCGUGGUUUUAAGGCAACAAAAACUAGGAGAGAACAAACAUAAGCUGAUUGCAUGUGAGAAGUUGCUAAGCUGAGUUCAGGGUAUCUGAUAACUUGCUGUGAAGCCGUGUUUCAGCCUAUUCCGUUCGGACAGUUGGUGCCUGGGUCCGCAGAUCGCAAUAGCCAGUAUGGGAGCAAGGCUGUUGGAUAGUCCUUGUGAGUAUCCUGUAAGGUUCUGUGUGGCAGGGCUUUCCUCCGGCUCUGGGCAUGCAGCGCUAGUCCGCGGACUUGGGUGCCCACUGUGGCCAGAUCUCUUCCCUUCCCAGGGCAGAAUGGUCUAGGCGGUGUGCGUCACAUGCGGCAGGCAUUCCUCAGCUUGCGUGCCAGAUUCAGAGAGGCAGCACCUCGAUGGGCUCUUAGCCCAGGCGGGCGUUUAGCAGCAUGGGUAGGCGCUCGUGCUUUAAGAUCGCUCAGGGGAGGCCCACAUCGCCCUGUCCGCUGGGUCCCUUUUGUUUCCUUCUUCUGCUAUUGGAAACUAGGCUGCAUGCGUUGCUGUAGUUUUAGCCAAAAGUCCUCAAAUAUUGUGUCCAGCCAUUGCAGGACAGUGUCUGUGAGGCAGCCAUGAGGUGUAUGCAGAUUCUGUGUGUUUGUCUUAGAGACUGCCACCAUCUUGAGGGUACGGGAAGCUACCAGGAUUCGGGCCUCCGUGAGAUCAAGAGGUAAGUGCGGUAAUGGUAGCCAAGGGUCAACCAGUGGGGACCGGGAUAUCCCCCACCGGUCCAGAGGGGGGUUGGGGGUAGGAGUGUAGCCGCCUUCCCCCAGCUCUGUCGCCCGCAGGCCGCAAUGCUCGUCCGCGGCAACCCGCUUGCCUGUGUGCUCGAGGAAGGGGUCUGUGGAACCAGCACUGUACCCCCAACCAGUGUGGCGUGGUUUCGUUGUGAGCAAGGUGCUGGUUGAGGGGGGGUCCCCCAAAGAUUGGCAAGACGUGCUGGAGCUCAUGCGGUAUGCGUCCGCUCAGCUUGAGGUCUUGGCU